AUGGAUGCAGCAAGUUACUCAUAUACUGAACAUGGUUUUCAAGUUGCAAUGGAUGAGUUAAAGUCAGAGUGUGAAGCAGCUUGGGUGUGGCUUAGCAAAAUAACCAAACACACUUGGGCCAGACAUGCCAUGGAUGUGAACUGCAAGACUGACUUAGUUGUUAAUAAUCUAAGUGAGGUUUUCAAUAGGUGGGUCCUAGAUGUUAGGGCUAAGCCAAUAAGGACCAUGGUUGAUGGAAUUAGGACAAAGUUGAUGGUCAAAUUCAAUGCAAAUAGAACAAAAGUUGAUACUGUCAAAUGGGAGAUUUGUCCUACAUAUGCAGAGAAACUAGAAGAAGCAAAGAAGUGGUCUAGGAACUGCCAAUCCUUGAUGGCUGGACCACAUCUUUACCAAGUGACAAGUGCAGAGAAAACAUAUGUUGUUAACCUGCAGAAAAAGACUUGUGGGUGUAGGAAGUGGGAUAUGACAGCAGUGCCUUGCCAUCAUGCUGUCUCUGCCAUUCACAAAGCUAAGCUACAGCCAGAGGACUUUGUUCAUGAUUUUUUCAAAAAACCAAUGUACAAGGCUGCAUACAGUCCCAUAAUCUAUCCAGUACCUGGCCCUGACAUGUGGCCAAAGACAGACAGUAGGGACAUUGACCCUCUAGUCUUCAAAGAACACAAAGGUAGAGCACAAAUUAAGAGAAGAAAGGGCAGACAUGAGAAGCCAGCUCCAAAGGAAACUUCAAGGAUGGCCUCAAUCACUUGUUCCAAUUGCAGCAAAGUUGGCCAUAGAUACACAAACUGCCAUGUUCCUUUGAAGCCUGCACUAGCCAUGAGAAAGAACAGGCAUGAGCCAAGCAGCUCUUCUUACCCACCUGAUGCUGCUACUGCUGCCUCCUCUGUUGCACCAGCAAGAAGGGCUGCAUCUACUGCCACUGCACCAGCACCAGCAAGGAGGACUGCUUCUACUGCCACUGCACCAGCACCAGCAAGAAGGACAGCUUCUACUGCCACUGCACCAGCACCAGCAAGGAGGACUGCUUCUACUGCCACUGCAACAACACCAGCAAGGAGGACUCCAUCUACUACUGCCACUGCAACAACACCAUCAAGGAGGACUCCAUCUACUACCACUGCACCAUCAACAAGAACUGCUACUGCUGCUGCAAAGGGUAAGGCUCCACAAACUAGAGCUUCAACUAUUGCAAAGGGAGCAAGGGCAGCUUUCUUGCCUCCAAGACCAAACAGUGGUUCCCAGAGAGUCAGAAAGCCAACCCAGAAGAUAAAGGACUACCUGACUGCUUCUGGUGCAGCAUGGGAUUGA
This 1305-nucleotide ribosomal RNA is filed under the name Triticum aestivum (bread wheat). RNAcentral's name for it is "partial small subunit ribosomal RNA". The record is from RNAcentral. Lineage: Eukaryota; Viridiplantae; Streptophyta; Magnoliopsida; Poales; Poaceae.